This 465-nucleotide ribosomal RNA is filed under the name Vreelandella stevensii. RNAcentral's name for it is "partial 16S ribosomal RNA". It matches the Rfam family "Bacterial small subunit ribosomal RNA", at positions 338 to 795 of the family's 1533-position model. The record is from RNAcentral. Lineage: Bacteria; Pseudomonadati; Pseudomonadota; Gammaproteobacteria; Oceanospirillales; Halomonadaceae.
CCUACGGGUGGCAGCAGUGGGGAAUAUUGGACAAUGGGCGAAAGCCUGAUCCAGCCAUGCCGCGUGUGUGAAGAAGGCCUUCGGGUUGUAAAGCACUUUCAGUGGGGAAGAAAGCCUUGGGGCUAAUACCCUCGAGGAAGGACAUCACCCACAGAAGAAGCACCGGCUAACUCCGUGCCAGCAGCCGCGGUAAUACGGAGGGUGCGAGCGUUAAUCGGAAUUACUGGGCGUAAAGCGCGCAUAGGCGGUCUGAUAAGCCGGUUGUGAAAGCCCCGGGCUCAACCUGGGAACGGCAUCCGGAACUGUCAGGCUAGAGUGCAGGAGAGGAAGGUAGAAUUCCCGGUGUAGCGGUGAAAUGCGUAGAGAUCGGGAGGAAUACCAGUGGCGAAGGCGGCCUUCUGGACUGACACUGACGCUGAGGUGCGAAAGCGUGGGUAGCAAACAGGAUUAGAUACCCCGGUAGUC